UGGGGACGGAGGGGGGGCAAGAUGGCGGCGGUGCUGGAGGUGGAGGUUGGAGGCCCCGCGGAGCGCGAUGGGGAGGAGGUGGAUCUGUCGCACUUGUCCCCCGAGGAGCGGUGGAGGGUGGAGCACGCCCGGAUGCACGCCAAGCACCGCGGGCACGAGGCCAUGCACGCCGAGAUGGUGCUCAUCCUCAUCGCCACGCUCGUGGUGGCCCAGCUGCUCCUGGUGCAGUGGAAGCAGAGGCACCCUCGCUCCUACAACAUGGUGACCCUCUUCCAGAUGUGGGUAGUACCUCUCUAUUUCACCAUCAAGCUCAACUGGUGGCGGUUCCUGGUCAUCUGGGUGCUCUUCUCAGCAGUCACAGCCUUUGUCACCUUCAGGGCAACGCGGAAACCCCUGGUACAGACAACACCCAGGCUGGUUUAUAAAUGGUUUCUGCUAAUAUACAAGAUCAGCUACGCCACCGGCAUCGUGGGCUACAUGGCUGUGAUGUUCACCCUCUUCGGGCUCAACUUGCUGUUCAGAAUCAAGCCGGAGGAUGCCAUGGACUUCGGGAUCUCCCUCCUCUUCUAUGGCCUCUACUACGGGGUGCUGGAGCGGGACUUCGCCGAGAUGUGUGCGGACUACAUGGCCUCCACCAUCGGGUUCUACAGCGCCUCGGGGAUGCCGACCAAGCACCUCUCCGACAGCGUCUGCGCCGUCUGCGGCCAGCGCAUCCUGGUGGAUGUCAACGAGGAGGGGAUCCUGGAGAACACCUACCGGCUCUCCUGCAACCACGUGUAUCCUCCUGCUGCUCCUGCUGCUCCCGCUCCUCCUGCUGCUCCUCCUGCUCCCGCUCCUGCUGCUCCUGCUCCUGCUGCUCCCACUCCCCGCGCCUCCAGGCUCCUGCCCCGCAGCAGAACCCUCCUCGCGCUGGUUCCUCUCGGAGCGGUGCCUGCGGCGGCGCUGAGCUGGCACCAAAGAGGCCAAACCCUGCGUGUCCCUCAGGCUGCCCCUGUGUGUGUUACGAGCACAGGUUCCUCCUCCUGGGGCUGCUGCUGCGAGGCUGCACCUCGUGUUCAGCUGCCUCUGUCAGAUCCGCCUCCCACCGGAGCAGGUUGCUCCAAGCCCCUGUGUCCAACCUGGCCUUGAACACUGCCAGGGAUGGGGCAGCCACAGCUUCUCUGGGCACCCUGUGCCAGCGCCUCAGCACCCUCACAGGGAAGAGCUUCUGCCUCAGAGCUCAUCUCAGUGUCCCCUCGGGCAGGUUAAAGCCAUUCCCCUUGGCCUGUCCCUCCAUCCCUUGUCCAAAGCCCCUCUCCAGGUUUCCUGGAGCCCCUUUAGGCACUGGAGCUGCUCUAAGGUCUCCCCUUCAGGAGCCUUCUCUUCUCCAGGCUGCCCCAGCCCAGCUCUCUCAGCCUGGCUCCAGAGCAGAGCUGCUCCAGCCCUCGCAGCAGCUCCGGGGCCUCCUCUGGCCUCGCUCCAGCAGCUCCACGUCCCUCCGGUGAUUCCAGGUUUCCCUCAGCUGGGGCCGCUCGGUCGCGCUGGCUGCUGGAAGCCCUGUCACAGCCCCUGCCCGGGAGGGGUUUUCCAGCGUGACUCAGCCGGAGCUGGGAUGUUCCUCUGGCUCCUGCUCACGAGGUGGUUUCCAAACCGGGCUCUGAGCAAAGGUCACGCUCACAAAACCCAGUUCCCAAAUUUAACCACCGGGACCAGGCUCCGGGAGCUCGCCUCUGUCCUGGCCCCUGUCACCCCCCGGGCCUGGGGCUGCUCCGGGCCCCGCUCCCCUCAGGUUACCCAGGGCAGUUCCUGUGUGACAGAGGUGACACCCUCGUGGUGGCCUCACCCCGAGCUCCGCCGCAGCCGCCUCCUGCUUCCCCACGGCUCGUGGGGUGAAUCCCGUCAUGAGUCAGAGCCCGAGACCCCGUCAGGCUCCCGAUAAUCCCCAGGAGCCGCCUGUGACACGUGGAGGAGACCUCGGGGAGUUCCUGGAGCUCCACCCGGGCUCUGCAAACCCUCCAGUGGCCCCUCCACAGCCAGACCCAUCCCUGGGGCCGGGUCUCACCCUCGGGCCAUGGAGCUCCUUGGUCCCGUGUUGGUGUAACCCGCUGUGAGCCCGCAUCAGGCACCGCUGGUGGUGGGUCCCUGUCCCCCCCAGUGCCUGCUCAGAGCCCCACCAGCCCCGUCCUCCGUGCCUGGAAGGUUCUGCUCCUUCUAGGAAAGGGCACCCAUUGAGCAACGCAUCCGCCCGCACCCAGGGGGACGUUUCCUGCCCUGUGCGAUGGGGCUGGGCUGGGCUUUGGGGGAAGCUGGAUGGUUUUCUCCCUUCGUGGUUGUGUCCCCCGUGUCCCGCAGCCCGAGGCUGUUCUCCUUGACCUGCUGCUCCCAGGUUCCACGAGUUCUGCAUCCGGGGCUGGUGCAUCGUGGGGAAGAAGCAGACGUGUCCGUACUGCAAAGAGAAGGUGGAUCUCAAGAGGAUGUUCAGUAACCCCUGGGAGCGGCCGCACGUCAUGUACGGGCAGCUGCUGGACUGGCUGCGGUACCUGGUGGCCUGGCAGCCCGUCAUCAUCGGCCUGGUCCAGGGCAUCAACUACAUCCUGGGGCUGGAGUAGGGCAGCGGAGCCCUGGAGCGCCCCGAGGCUCGGGGCGGGACGGCCGCCGGCCCGGGCACACGCAGCGCCCCUCGGCUGCCCCCAUGGGGACGUGGGGCAGGACCCGGCGCCGGCUCCGGCCGAGGCUCGUUUUUAAAGGAUCCUUUUAAUGAGUAUUUAAAACUUUCUAUUGCAGCCGCAAGAGACGCUUGUCCCUCCCCAUGGCCCGUGCGGGGCCGGGGCUGGGCUCCAGCAGCGCCCGCUCCUGCUGCGGCAGUGACGGGAGGGGGCUGAGCCUUUGCCGGCUCCGGUGCCAGCCCCGAGGCUGGCAGCAGCCCCACAGCAGCACGGACGGGAUGUGGGGACUAUGGGGCUGCCCCGGAGCCCCUGAGAGGGGACGGAGAGACGCGUGGGGGCCCCUCCUGUGGGUCACAGGCAGAGCUGAGCCCCGGGGACCCUUUUGUAGCUCCCACUUUUCUAUGUUCAUCCCAGGAUCCGGCUGUGUCCCAGCGGGGUCCCAGCCUGGGCACGGAGCGGGGCCGGGGCCGCUGCUCUCCCUGCGUCCCGGCCUGGGAUGGUGGCACCGGUUGUCCCUGUCCCGUCCCGGGGGACACGUCGCUGCGGUGGCGGCUCCGUGGGAUGGAGCACGGGUGGGAGCCGCGCUCCCUGCGCCGCAGCCACCUUGAGCCCGGCUCUGGGGGGCGCGGACCCCGGCGCCGGCGCAUGGGGGGCACACACGGUGCAGCAUCACCCCGGCCGUGGGCAGCGGCCGCGCCUCCGGGGCCCUUUGGUUUUGGUUUGGGUGAAGCCGCGUCAGCGCCUGGUGCCAAACACCGGAACAAGAGUCCUGGAACCAGA
RNA transcript from Strigops habroptila (Kakapo), 3425 nucleotides. It is a transcript of the gene named ring finger protein 121, with no coding region annotated. The record is from RefSeq and is a predicted model, not a curated record. The transcript has 8 exons. NCBI's taxonomy places the organism in Eukaryota, Metazoa, Chordata, Aves, Psittaciformes, Psittacidae.